GACGAACGCUGGCGGCGUGCUUAACACAUGCAAGUCGAACGGAAAGGCCUCUUUCGGGGGGUACUCGAGUGGCGAACGGGUGAGUAACACGUGAGUAACCUGCCCUUGACUUUGGGAUAACUUCAGGAAACUGGGGCUAAUACCGGAUAGGAGCUCCUGCUGCAUGGUGGGGGUUGGAGAGUUUCGGCGGUUGGGGAUGGACUCGCGGCUUAUCAGCUUGUUGGUGGGGUAGUGGCUUACCAAGGCUUUGACGGGUAGCCGGCCUGAGAGGGUGACCGGCCACAUUGGGACUGAGAUACGGCCCAGACUCCUACGGGAGGCAGCAGUGGGGAAUAUUGCACAAGGGGUGGAAGCCUGAUGCAGCAACGCCGUGUGCGGGAGGACGGCCUUCGGGUUGGAAACCGCUUUCGCUCAUGACGAAGCUUUGUGUGACGGUAGUGGGUAAAGAAGCACCGGCUAACUACGUG
This 467-nucleotide ribosomal RNA is filed under the name uncultured bacterium. Its description in RNAcentral is "partial 16S ribosomal RNA". It matches the Rfam family "Bacterial small subunit ribosomal RNA", at positions 28 to 507 of the family's 1533-position model. The record is from RNAcentral.